AGGCCUUCAGGCUGGUCGGCCGGAAAUGGACCGACCACGUCGUUUUCGAUGCCGGGUUGAUGCGAAAGAUCGAUAGCCGCUAUACGCGCGCCGACGCGACGAAGAUCCAGACCGUAUUGAACUGGCGGCCAAAGAUCGACUUUCAAUCACUCGUUUCGAUGAUGGUGAACGCGCAAAUUGCUUUCAUCAAGAAUAGCAUGUCGUUGAAUCGGAAUCCGGGCAGUGACUACUACAGCGCUGAAU
Molecule: unclassified non-coding RNA, 243 nt
Filed under: Hevea brasiliensis (rubber tree)
Lineage: Eukaryota; Viridiplantae; Streptophyta; Magnoliopsida; Malpighiales; Euphorbiaceae
Source: RNAcentral